This 330-nucleotide ribosomal RNA is filed under the name uncultured eukaryote. RNAcentral describes it as "partial 18S ribosomal RNA". It matches the Rfam family "Eukaryotic small subunit ribosomal RNA", at positions 1470 to 1796 of the family's 1831-position model. The record is from RNAcentral.
CCCUUAGAUGUUCUGGGCCGCACGCGUGCUACACUGAUGCAUUCAACGAGUCUAAAACCUGGUCUGAUAGGGCUGGGUAGUCUUUUGAAAGUGCAUCGUGAUUGGGAUAGAUGAUUGCAAUUCUUCAUCUUCAACGAGGAAUGCCUAGUAAACGCAAGUCAUCAGCUUGCAUUGAUUACGUCCCUGCCCUUUGUACACACCGCCCGUCGCUCCUACCGAUUGAAUGAUCCGAUGAAUACCAUGGAUUGAGAGUACGAAUAGGUUCGCUUAUUUCUGCUGCUCGAGAAGUGGAGUAAAUCUUAUCAUUUAGAGGAAGGAGAAGUCGUAACA